UUUUGUCUUUCAAACAUUUCGAGAAGGAACUCAAUUCACUUUUUGCGAGAUUUUCACUAGUUUCUAGACAGUGCCUUCGAGAAACAGACGUUGAUGGUCAACAGUAAUAUACAAGAACUUGAGGAUAAAAAUCACGAGGAAUGCGAUUUGUUUCAAAAGUACAUCAGCAACGAUGAUAUUUUGGAUGGCAUCGUAAGAAGAUGGUGGACGAGCUUACAGGAAUGAUUUACCAUCAAGGUAUUUUUACGAUCAGACUUAUGGCGCGUGCAAAUAUUUAUUGUACAAAUAGGAUAUUGUGUCCCCAAUGAUCCGUUUGUAACCUUUACGCAGCGGAAUUUGUAGCGUUGUUGGUGUAAAUCAUUCGUAACUUGAGUUGAAUAACAAAACAUAUUCGUUCAUUUAA
Molecule: long non-coding RNA, 403 nt
Organism: Xenia sp. Carnegie-2017
Lineage: Eukaryota; Metazoa; Cnidaria; Anthozoa; Malacalcyonacea; Xeniidae
Exons: 2
Source: RefSeq, a predicted model, not a curated record